Mytilus trossulus (common blue mussel) is the source of this 256-nucleotide long non-coding RNA. RefSeq lists it as uncharacterized. NCBI's taxonomy places the organism in Eukaryota, Metazoa, Mollusca, Bivalvia, Mytilida, Mytilidae. The record is from RefSeq and is a predicted model, not a curated record. The transcript is spliced from 4 exons.
UGAACUGUCAACAAAGAUGAGGUUGACAUUAGUGCUUCUGGUUGCCGUGUUAAUUCUAACAGCAGUUUCAGUCUUAAAUGCAGAACCUUUAAAUCAAUUAAAAAAUGUCAGGAAAAAACGAGAUACAAGAGGAAAACCUGGCCAAUCACCACCAUUUGUUGCAAAAGAAGACACAAGGACAAAAAGGGAGGUCAAGCCGGAACCAGAUGUAAUCUUACGAUAAUUACCAUAUCCUGUGAUUGAUAUUAGUUUUUUU